Molecule: ribosomal RNA, 705 nt
Filed under: uncultured bacterium
Lineage: Bacteria
Description: bacterial SSU rRNA
Rfam family: Bacterial small subunit ribosomal RNA
Source: RNAcentral
CCCUCUGGUGGGGAAUAACCCUGGGAAACCGGGGCUAAUACCGCAUAAGCCCCUCAAGGGGAAAGCAGCAAUGCGCCGGAGGAGGAGUCCGCGGCCGAUUAGCUCGUUGGUAGGGUAAUGGCCUACCAAGGCUUCGAUCGGUAGCCGGCCUGAGAGGGCACACGGCCACACUGGCACUGAAACACGGGCCAGACUCCUACGGGAGGCAGCAGUGGGGAAUCUUGCACAAUGGGGGAAACCCUGAUGCAGCGACGCCGCGUGAGCGAUGAAGCCCUUCGGGGUGUAAGGCUCUUUCGGCAGGAACGAAUCUUGACGGUACCUGCAAAAGAAGCUGCGGCUAACUACGUGCCAGCAGCCGCGGUAAUACGUAGGCAGCAAGCGUUGUUCGGAGUUACUGGGCGUAAAGAGUGUGUAGGCGGUUCGGUUAGUUCGGUGUGAAAUCUCCCGGCUCAACUGGGAGGGUGCGCCGGAUACUGCCGGGCUUGAGUGCGGGAGAGGAGAGCGGAAUUCCUGGUGUAGCGGUGAAAUGCGUAGAUAUCAGGAGGAACACCGGCGGUGUAGACGGCUCUCUGGACCGUGACUGACGCUGAGACACGAAAGCGUGGGGAGCAAACAGGAUUAGAUACCCUGGUAGUCCACGCCCUAAACGAUGCGCACUUGGUGUGAGCCAUUCAGUUGGUUCGUGCCGGAGCUAACGCGUUAAGU